AGGAGGAGAAUAGGACCGGUGACUUCUGCAAGAGUUACAGUAAUUUUGCAUCUCUUGGCAUCUUAGGACCACAAGCGAUGAUGGCUACAGGGUCCAUUUCCAGAAGAUGCAGAGAGAGAAAAUGCGCAGCAAAGAGCGGCAGAGGAGGCGAGCAGAAUGCCAUAAGGAGGUGUGAAGCAAUGAGCAAUGCAGCCUAUCACCGCUGGAGCUGACGUGGGCCAGGUGGGGCGCAAGUGUCAGCAUGGCAACAUGUAAACGGCAGAGUGGGCGAGGACGAGCAGCAGAGGCGCCACAGGGAACCUCGGAGGGGCGAAGCCACGUGCCGAUGAGCAGUCCGAGAAGGUGCUGUGUGGCCACAUUUGGGACUGGAUGCCCAUUUGAGGUGCCACGAGGGAUGACAGCUGAAGGGUC
Grus americana (Whooping crane) is the source of this 411-nucleotide long non-coding RNA. RefSeq lists it as uncharacterized. NCBI's taxonomy places the organism in Eukaryota, Metazoa, Chordata, Aves, Gruiformes, Gruidae. The record is from RefSeq and is a predicted model, not a curated record. The transcript is spliced from 7 exons.